AUUAAUUAAGCGAGCCAAGAAAAAGAAAUGAAAGGCCCCAAGUUUCUCGUUUAAAUACGGACGGGUAAGGCUCCCGCUCAAAUCGAUUUGAUCUUGCAGGCUGCCGAUCGGAGGAUGCAAAACGAAUUCUGUGUGAGCAGAAUCUUGAUCCUACUAGUGAUGGAAGAGGACUUCUUCAGUUUAAGACUGGUUUGAUGUCUGUAAUUAAUUAAGGUCCCAGAUUAGUGUCUGAUGCUUUUUGAAUAGCACCCACACCACUCUCUCUAGCUUCUAUGAGUGCAAGAUCUCCAAUAUUGAGUUGAAAUGAUUUUUAUCGAGAUGACUAGUGCUGGAACUAAUUACUUUGGUAAAGUAUCAUAUAUUUUGUUUGAUGGGCAAGCAUUGAGGAUGUUUCAUAGUUUAGAAUGUGGUGCUUGGAUCCGGUUGAAAGAUCAUGUUUUCUUUUGAUGUCAAAACAUAUUUUUUUGUACAAGUCUGAUAGGUUGGAAAUGAAAUAAACAAUUACCGGCCGGGGGGAGUGAAUUUUUGUUUUAUGUAAAUUGUAGCCUCCUUGUUUAUAACCUAUUGCCUUGACGAUUAACUUGACUAUGCUGGAAUGCAAACCAGAACUAAUUGUAUGCUAUAACGGUGUUUAUCUUCGGCCUAAUUCAUGUCCUGCAGUCUUUACUCUGUUUGAGGGUUAAAUUGGUAAUCUAAGCUUGUUUUGGGCGACGGUUUUACUUUCUCCUAAGCUGUCUGUCUUUUUCUUGUGUGAAUUCUCUCCCUUUUUUAGCAGUAAAGUCUGGAAUCUUUUUCAAUGAUGAUUACAUAAUAGUAAUUAACAAAACAAAGAAUAGUAAAAGGUUGGAAAAAACGGAUCCUAUGGGUUUCCUCCAAAAUAACUGGUUGUUUCAACUUAUAGAUUGUGAGGAAGACCUUCCCUUCACUCUUCUGUGGCUGUAAUUUGCCUCUUAUGUUUUUUCAUUCAUUUGUUGUUUCUUUGGAGCUCAGCUAUAUAGAGAUGAAAAAGACAAUUGCUAUCUUGAGGGCAUUAGUUGAGGAGUUGGAGUCGCUUAGCAAAGAUGCAGAUCCUUAUGGAGUUGGAAGGCAAAUUACAGAGUUGCGCAGAAUUAAAAGCACUGAUGCAACAUUAUCUGGGGAGCUCACAGCCUACAAUAUCGUCCCACUGGAAGCACCAUUACUAACCAAUGCAAUUGGAGUAUUUCCGGAAGUUAGAGGUGCGAUAUUGGCAAUUAGAUAUACUGAACAAUUCCCUAGGCUGCCAGCUAAGUUUGAGAUAUCUGGACAAUGGGAUGCAGAUAAAAAGACAAUGUAAGGAACCAGAGAGAGAAUUUUGUCCUUACAAUUGCAAAUGCACAAUCUCACCUUGGUAUACCUGCUCAGGCUGAUCCAAUGCUUAAUCCUUUGCAGACCAUACAAUGGUCUGAAGUGUAAGCUUGGCACUUUGGUAGGUUGCUCCAUUGCAACCUGAAGGUCCCAGGUUUGAAGGGGGAGAUAGCCUCUCCCAGAUGGGGUCAACAGUCUCUAGGCUCUGCAAUGGCUGGAUUCCCAUGCAUAUUCAGCUGUCUGUGUGAGCUGUGCUUGUUAUUCUCUCUUUUGUCUUGUAACAUCAUGUAUGUGAUUUUAAGAUGUUGCUCAUUAUUCUUUCUUUGCAUGGUUUCAUCAUGCACUCCUUCUUGGCAUAGACAAGGAAAUUCUAGCUAUGAAGCUCACUGAUACGCUAUAUAUUUUUGCAUUCCCAGAAAAUAGACGAGAAGGCAAUCAAUGAGGUAUUUCUGAAAGUCCUGGAUAAUUAGAUCAAAUGGUGCAAAUACCUGUGGAUCUGGCUUCACAAGCAAUUAAUCGGGACAUAAACUUUUUCUGGUGGCAUUGUACUUUCUGAUAUGGGGUGAGGCUGCAAAUGUCCACUUUCUUCCUGAAUGCAUUUGCUACAUGUUUGACCAUAUGGCGAAGGAGUUAGAUGCUAUUCCUGCUGCUAGCUGCACAAUAGAAAAUGAUUAUGUGUCCUUCCUCAAGCAGAUUGUUUAUCCUAUAUAUGAAACAUUGGCAGCGGAAGCUGCUAGAAACAAUAACGGGAAAGCUGCGCAUUCAGCAUGGUGGAAUUAUGACGACUUAAAUGAAUACUGUUGCUUUGUUUGCUUGUCAUUCAAUUAUGGAUGAACAAUGUGAUUCCUUCUUUUUGGUGUGUGAAGCAUCUGUGGAAUAUGCAGGUCACCUGCUUGUUUAGUUGAGCUGACCUAUGAGGAGGGAUUCAGCAUUUUUGCUGAAGCCUUAAAAGAGGAAAAGGAUCUCUUUUGUUAUUGCCUUUAAUGAUGGGAAGAUCAAUUCGGUUGCAUUGAAAAGUAUACUCAGGAUUGGGCCAGCAUUCGCUAUCAUGAACUUUGUAAACUCUUUUAUUAUUUUCAUUUUUUUUUUCUGUGUUCCAUAGUCUUUGGACUGCUAGUUGCAAGUUACUUGAAAUGAAGUCGCAAAAACUCAAUUCUGGUUUUGCUUUAAUGCAUUGGAUGAUGUGCAGGUAGUUUGGAUGUGUUGGUCAUGUUUGGGGCUUAUACCACAGCCAGAGGCAUGGCUAUCUCAAGACUUGUAAUUAGAUUUUUCUGGUUUGGCUUCAGCUCUGUUGCUGUGACAUAUAUUUAUCUGUGAGUAAUAUUUCAUUUGCAGAGUUAUACCACUUUACCCUAACUACAGUAUCAGAUGAAAAUUUAUUUAUUAUAUGAAAUAUAUGCACGAAAGUUCUGCACGAAAGAAAUGAUAACUCAAAUGAUCAUUCUAUUUUCGGAUAUACAGUUUAUGCAGCUUUACGCCUAGUCCUUGCGCUGUUACUCAAAUUUGUGGCAUGUAGAUUGAGGGCAAAUCACCUCAUGGCCAAAUCAUUUACUAUACCAUGUUAAGAGCUAGGACAGCGACUCAAAUGAGCAUCUUAAGUGACUCAUAUCUCGUUUGAUUAGAGUAUAAAUCUAGCCGUUCUCAGGGGAGAUUGCACAUUUGAUAAGGAUUUUGACUUGGCCGAGGCCAUGAAGGAGAACAUCACUCUUUAUGAUUCAUCGGAAGAAGAGGCAAUUCUUGAUUAAUGUAGAAUUUCGAUGAAUAAUUGAUAAAUUUAUGUAGGAUUUAUAACUAUCUUAUAUGAC
Rosa rugosa (rugosa rose) is the source of this 3131-nucleotide long non-coding RNA. RefSeq lists it as uncharacterized. The transcript is spliced from 10 exons. The record is from RefSeq and is a predicted model, not a curated record. Lineage: Eukaryota; Viridiplantae; Streptophyta; Magnoliopsida; Rosales; Rosaceae.